AACGUCCGUCGUGAAGAGGGAAACAACCCAGACCGCCAGCUAAGGUCCCAAAGUCAUGGUUAAGUGGGAAACGAUGUGGGAAGGCCCAGACAGCCAGGAUGUUGGCUUAGAAGCAGCCAUCAUUUAAAGAAAGCGUAAUAGCUCACUGGUCGAGUCGGCCUGCGCGGAAGAUGUAACGGGGCUAAACCAUGCACCGAAGCUGCGGCAGCGACACUAUGUGUUGUUGGGUAGGGGAGCGUUCUGUAAGCCUGUGAAGGUGUACUGUGAGGUAUGCUGGAGGUAUCAGAAGUGCGAAUGCUGACAUAAGUAACGAUAAAGCGGGUGAAAAGCCCGCUCGCCGGAAGACCAAGGGUUCCUGUCCAACGUUAAUCGGGGCAGGGUGAGUCGACCCCUAAGGCGAGGCCGAAAGGCGUAGUCGAUGGGAAACAGGUUAAUAUUCCUGUACUUGGUGUUACUGCGAAGGGGGGACGGAGAAGGCUAUGUUGGCCGGGCGACGGUUGUCCCGGUUUAAGCGUGUAGGCUGGUUUUCCAGGCAAAUCCGGAAAAUCAAGGCUGAGGCGUGAUGACGAGGCACUACGGUGCUGAAGCGACAAAUGCCCUGCUUCCAGGAAAAGCCUCUAAGCAUCAGGUAACAUCAAAUCGUACCCCAAACCGACACAGGUGGUCAGGUAGAGAAUACCAAGGCGCUUGAGAGAACUCGGGUGAAGGAACUAGGCAAAAUGGUGCCGUAACUUCGGGAGAAGGCACGCUGAUAUGUAGGUGAAGCGACUUGCUCGUGGAGCUGAAAUCAGUCGAAGAUACCAGCUGGCUGCAACUGUUUAUUAAAAACACAGCACUGUGCAAACACGAAAGUGGACGUAUACGGUGUGACGCCUGCCCGGUGCCGGAAGGUUAAUUGAUGGGGUUAGCGGUAACGCGAAGCUCUUGAUCGAAGCCCCGGUAAACGGCGGCCGUAACUAUAACGGUCCUAAGGUAGCGAAAUUCCUUGUCGGGUAAGUUCCGACCUGCACGAAUGGCGUAAUGAUGGCCAGGCUGUCUCCACCCGAGACUCAGUGAAAUUGAACUCGCUGUGAAGAUGCAGUGUACCCGCGGCAAGACGGAAAGACCCCGUGAACCUUUACUAUAGCUUGACACUGAACAUUGAGCCUUGAUGUGUAGGAUAGGUGGGAGGCUUUGAAGUGUGGACGCCAGUCUGCAUGGAGCCGACCUUGAAAUACCACCCUUUAAUGUUUGAUGUUCUAACGUGGGCCCCUUACCGGGGUUGCGGACAGUGUCUGGUGGGUAGUUUGACUGGGGCGGUCUCCUCCUAAAGAGUAACGGAGGAGCACGAAGGUUGGCUAAUCCUGGUCGGACAUCAGGAGGUUAGUGCAAUGGCAUAAGCCAGCUUGACUGCGAGCGUGACGGCGCGAGCAGGUGCGAAAGCAGGUCAUAGUGAUCCGGUGGUUCUGAAUGGAAGGGCCAUCGCUCAACGGAUAAAAGGUACUCCGGGGAUAACAGGCUGAUACCGCCCAAGAGUUCAUAUCGACGGCGGUGUUUGGCACCUCGAUGUCGGCUCAUCACAUCCUGGGGCUGAAGUAGGUCCCAAGGGUAUGGCUGUUCGCCAUUUAAAGUGGUACGCGAGCUGGGUUUAGAACGUCGUGAGACAGUUCGGUCCCUAUCUGCCGUGGGCGCUGGAGAACUGAGGGGGGCUGCUCCUAGUACGAGAGGACCGGAGUGGACGCAUCACUGGUGUUCGGGUUGUCAUGCCAAUGGCACUGCCCGGUAGCUAAAUGCGGAAGAGAUAAGUGCUGAAAGCAUCUAAGCACGAAACUUGCCCCGAGAUGAGUUCUCCCUGACUCCUUGAGAGUCCUGAAGGAACGUUGAAGACGACGACGUUGAUAGGCCGGGUGUGUAAGCGCAGCGAUGCGUUGAGCUAACCGGUACUAAUGAACCGUGAGGCUUAACCUU
Molecule: ribosomal RNA, 1947 nt
Filed under: human gut metagenome
Description: bacterial LSU rRNA
Rfam family: Bacterial large subunit ribosomal RNA
Source: RNAcentral